GCCCCGUAAUCGGAAUGAGUACACUUUAAAUCCUUUAACAAGGAUCCAUUGGAGGGCAAGUCUGGUGCCAGCAGCCGCGGUAAUUCCAGCUCCAAUAGCGUAUAUUAAAGUUGUUGCGGUUAAAAAGCUCGUAGUUGGUUCUGCGUGCCGCGCUGUCGGUUCGCCGCCUGUCGGUGUAACUGGCAUGUCGCGGCAUGUCCUGUCGGUGGUGAACGGAGUCCACAAUGCUGCAUAGGCUUUAUUGCCCAUGUUAGCGUCGUGUGCACUUCCGUUGGCCGAUCUCUCCUACUUCGGUGCUCUUAAACGAGUGUCGAGGUAGGCCGACACGUUCACUUUGAACAAAUUAGAGUGCUUAAAGCAGGCUGAAAUAUCUGCCUGAAUAGUGGUGCAUGGAAUGAUAAAACAGGACCUCGGUUCUAUUUUGUUGGUUUUAGGAAUAUGAGGUAAUGAUCAAUGUGGACUGGCGGGGGCAUUCGUAUUGCGACGUUAGAGGUGAAAUUCUUGGAUCGUCGCAAGACGCACUAGAGCGAAAGCAUUUGCCAAGUAUGUCUUAAUUGAUCAAGAACGAAAGUUAGAGGUUCGAAGGCGAUCAGAUACCGCCCUAGUUCUAACCAUAAACGAUGCCAGCCAGCGAUCCGCCGAUGUUCCUUUAAUGACUCGGCGGGGCGCUUCUUCCCGGGAAACCAAAGCUUUUGGGUUCCGGGGGAAGUAUGGUU
Molecule: ribosomal RNA, 716 nt
Filed under: Linshcosteus costalis
Lineage: Eukaryota; Metazoa; Arthropoda; Insecta; Hemiptera; Reduviidae
Description: SSU rRNA
Rfam family: Eukaryotic small subunit ribosomal RNA
Source: RNAcentral